AUGUUGCAACUGAACAGCUUGAAUGUAACAGUCUGGCAUAUCCCAAACAAACUAACAGAUGGUUCCCAUAGCCUGGUAUAGUCCUCCUUUCUCUAAUAAACUUUUCUUCCUUUCAUCUAUACCACCCCACUAAAGUUAGAAUUUGACACCACUGGAAAUGGAUUGAGUGCACUGAGUAAUAAUAACAGCAACAAUAAAAAUGAAGUUAUUUUUUAUAUUCUUGCUAGAAUGUGGUCUGCUGCUGGGUUCCUUCCAACUGGGUCUGAACACAGACACUGUUCCUUGGUGCCAGAACAAAAGAGGACGGAGAUGCAAACAUGGUAGAGGAAGGGGCCAAAUGUUCACCAGGGUACAGGAAGCUGCCAUUGCAAACUUGUUUUUUGUAAAAUAAUGAAAUCAGAUUACGAGAAAUUCAUCAUCCAAGACAACACCAUAUCCAACAACAUUCCACGAGUCAGUCUGUCCACAUCGGCUUGCAUUCUCAAGCGAAACCAAUUCAGAAUGAAACAACCUUAUAAGGUGCCAUUUGAAAGAAACUCUCAAAGAAACAAAGAGCUCAGACGAGCAUAUGUGGAUGGAGUACUGGAAAUGGAUGCUCAUGCAAUCCCAUAUGAGUUAAUCUUUAAAGAUGAGGCUGGGUUCAACCUAGCAAAGACCAGAAGAAGGG
This is a long non-coding RNA of Alosa sapidissima (American shad), 667 nucleotides long. RefSeq lists it as uncharacterized. The transcript is spliced from 3 exons. The record is from RefSeq and is a predicted model, not a curated record. NCBI's taxonomy places the organism in Eukaryota, Metazoa, Chordata, Actinopteri, Clupeiformes, Clupeidae.